This 1809-nucleotide ribosomal RNA is filed under the name Candidatus Bathycorpusculum sp. Its description in RNAcentral is "partial 23S ribosomal RNA". It matches the Rfam family "Archaeal large subunit ribosomal RNA", at positions 1220 to 2987 of the family's 2987-position model. The record is from RNAcentral. Lineage: Archaea; Thermoproteati; Candidatus Bathyarchaeota; Bathyarchaeia (SeqCode); Bathyarchaeales (SeqCode); Candidatus Bathycorpusculaceae.
GUAACAGCUCACCCGCCGAGGCUGACGGCCUCGAAAAUUGACGGGGCUAAGCCAGCUACCGAUACCUUAGAACGCAGUAUAUGCUGCGCUGGUAGGAAGGCGUCCUAGUUGGGCAGAAGCUGGGCUGUGAGGUCCAGUGGACCGAUUAGGAUUGCGGAUCCCGGUGGUAGUAACAGCAAAGAGAAGUGAGAAUCUUCUCCGCCGAAGGGGCCAGGGUUCCCCGGCAACGAUCGUCAGCCGGGGGUAAGUCGAUCCUAAGGCAUAACUUAACCGAUUAUGCCGAAAAAGGGAAUCCGGCUAAAAUUCCGGAACCAUAGAGGUACGCGCGGUAACGCAAGCUUAGUGUUGACGCUUCGGGAUAGACUGAGCAAGGUCUUCGCCUUGUUUAACUUUAUAAACCUGGGGAGUGCCGUAAUGGCGAGAACUAGGUGAAAUUGGGAAUAGCCACCCGUUUUAGGGAGGUUCAGUUAAUUUCUGGAGCCACUGAAAAACACACUAAGAAGGAUCCUCUAUGAUCGUACCUAGAACCGACACAGGUGUCCCUAGGCAAGAAACCUAAGGCGUGUCGGGUAUACACUAAUGCGAGGGAACUCGGCAAAUUAGCCCCGUACCUUUGGUAUAAGGGGUGCCUGCUCUUUCAGACUUGUGCUGGAAGAGCAGGUCGCAGUGUCAAAGGGGUCUCGACUGUUUAAUAAAAACAUAGGAAACCGCAAGAGCGAAAGCUUGUGAACGGUUUCUGAAUCCUGGCCAGUACAGGUACCUGAAACCUGGGUCCAACUGGGCUAAGGGCCUGCAAACGCCGGGAGUAACUCUGACUCUCUCAAGGUAGCCAAAUGCCUUGUCGGGUAAGUUCCGACGUGCAUGAAUGGAUCAACGAGGGCCCCACUGUCCCCGCGUAGUACCCGGUGAAACCACAUAACGUGGACGAACAGUCCACGAUCUCCCAGCGGGAAAAGAAGUCCCUGUGGAGUUUUACUGCAGCCUGUCGCUGGAAUACGGCUAUGGAUACAGAGUGUAGUCGGGAGCCGUCGAUCCUGCGUCCUCCGGGACGUGGGGGAGGCAACAAUGGAACACCGACUUUCUGUAACCGUGUUUCUUACCGGCUCCUAGAGGGCCGGAACAACGGUAGGUGGGCAGUUCGGCUGGGGCGGCACGCCCUUGAAAAGAUAUCAAGGGCGCCCUAAGGUUGGCUCAGGGGGGACAGAAACCCUCCGUAGAGUGCAAGGGCAAAAGCCAGCCUGACUGUAUCCCAAACAGUAAGGGAUGCAGAGGAGAAAUCCGGGCUUAGCGAUCAUCCAUGCUCCCCUUUGGUGGGGGCUGGAUGUGUCAGAAAAAUUACCCUAGGGAUAACAGGCUCGUCGCGGGCGAGAGUCCCCAUCGACCCCGCGGCUUGGUACCUCGAUGUCGGCUCUUCCUAUCCUGGUCCUGCAUAAGGGACCAAGGGUGAGGCUGCUCGCCUAUUAAAAGGGAACGUGAGCUGGGUUUAGACCGUCGUGAGACAGGUCGGACUUUAUCUGCUGGGAGUGUUGGCUGCCUGAGGGGAAAGGGUCCCUAGUACGAGAGGAACGGGACGCUGUAGCCUCUAGUUAACCGGUUGUCUGAUAAGGCAGUCGCCGGGCAGCCACGCUGUUGUGGAUAAGAGCUGAAAGCAUCUAAGCUCGAAGCCUCUCCCGAAAAGAGGCAGCCAUUCCAGUUUCACUGGACGAAGGCACCCAUAGAAGAUGGGUUUGAUGGAGCCGGGGUGUACGCUAGAAGACUUCGGUCGACUAGCUCAGCCUGCGGCCACCAAUCGCCUAAGUUGUCAAUCAA